RNAcentral lists this ribosomal RNA (1512 nucleotides) under Escherichia coli. RNAcentral describes it as "partial 23S ribosomal RNA". It matches the Rfam family "Bacterial large subunit ribosomal RNA", at positions 1 to 1556 of the family's 2925-position model. The record is from RNAcentral. Lineage: Bacteria; Pseudomonadati; Pseudomonadota; Gammaproteobacteria; Enterobacterales; Enterobacteriaceae.
GGUUAAGCGACUAAGCGUACACGGUGGAUGCCCUGGCAGUCAGAGGCGAUGAAGGACGUGCUAAUCUGCGAUAAGCGUCGGUAAGGUGAUAUGAACCGUUAUAACCGGCGAUUUCCGAAUGGGGAAACCCAGUGUGUUUCGACACACUAUCAUUAACUGAAUCCAUAGGUUAAUGAGGCGAACCGGGGGAACUGAAACAUCUAAGUACCCCGAGGAAAAGAAAUCAACCGAGAUUCCCCCAGUAGCGGCGAGCGAACGGGGAGCAGCCCAGAGCCUGAAUCAGUGUGUGUGUUAGUGGAAGCGUCUGGAAAGGCGUGCGAUACAGGGUGACAGCCCCGUACACAAAAAUGCACAUGCUGUGAGCUCGAUGAGUAGGGCGGGACACGUGGUAUCCUGUCUGAAUAUGGGGGGACCAUCCUCCAAGGCUAAAUACUCCUGACUGACCGAUAGUGAACCAGUACCGUGAGGGAAAGGCGAAAAGAACCCCGGCGAGGGGAGUGAAAAAGAACCUGAAACCGUGUACGUACAAGCAGUGGGAGCACGCUUAGGCGUGUGACUGCGUACCUUUUGUAUAAUGGGUCAGCGACUUAUAUUCUGUAGCAAGGUUAACCGAAUAGGGGAGCCGAAGGGAAACCGAGUCUUAACUGGGCGUUAAGUUGCAGGGUAUAGACCCGAAACCCGGUGAUCUAGCCAUGGGCAGGUUGAAGGUUGGGUAACACUAACUGGAGGACCGAACCGACUAAUGUUGAAAAAUUAGCGGAUGACUUGUGGCUGGGGGUGAAAGGCCAAUCAAACCGGGAGAUAGCUGGUUCUCCCCGAAAGCUAUUUAGGUAGCGCCUCGUGAAUUCAUCUCCGGGGGUAGAGCACUGUUUCGGCAAGGGGGUCAUCCCGACUUACCAACCCGAUGCAAACUGCGAAUACCGGAGAAUGUUAUCACGGGAGACACACGGCGGGUGCUAACGUCCGUCGUGAAGAGGGAAACAACCCAGACCGCCAGCUAAGGUCCCAAAGUCAUGGUUAAGUGGGAAACGAUGUGGGAAGGCCCAGACAGCCAGGAUGUUGGCUUAGAAGCAGCCAUCAUUUAAAGAAAGCGUAAUAGCUCACUGGUCGAGUCGGCCUGCGCGGAAGAUGUAACGGGGCUAAACCAUGCACCGAAGCUGCGGCAGCGACGCUGAUGCGUUGUUGGGUAGGGGAGCGUUCUGUAAGCCUGCGAAGGUGUGCUGUGAGGCAUGCUGGAGGUAUCAGAAGUGCGAAUGCUGACAUAAGUAACGAUAAAGCGGGUGAAAAGCCCGCUCGCCGGAAGACCAAGGGUUCCUGUCCAACGUUAAUCGGGGCAGGGUGAGUCGACCCCUAAGGCGAGGCCGAAAGGCGUAGUCGAUGGGAAACAGGUUAAUAUUCCUGUACUUGGUGUUACUGCGAAGGGGGGACGGAGAAGGCUAUGUUGGCCGGGCGACGGUUGUCCCGGUUUAAGCGUGUAGGCUGGUUUUCUAGGCAAAUCCGGAAAAUCAAGGC